CCUACGGGAGGCAGCAGUGGGGAAUAUUGGGCAAUGGGCGCAAGCCUGACCCAGCAACGCCGCGUGAAGGAAGAAGGCUUUCGGGUUGUAAACUUCUUUUCUCAGGGACGAAGGAAGUGACGUUACCUGAGGAAUAAGCCACGGCUAACUACGGGCCAGCAGCCGCGGUAAUACGUAGGUUGCAAGCGUUAACCGGAUUUACUGGGGGGACAGGGCGUGUAGGCGGGACUGCAAGUCAGAUGUGAAAACCAUGGGCUCAACCUGUGAACUGCAUUUGAAACUGUGGGUCUUGAGUACUGGAGAGGCAGACGGAAUUCCUAGUGUAGCGGUGAAAUGCGUAGAUAUGAGGAGGAACACCAGUGGCGAAGGCGGUCUGCUGGACAGCAACUGACGCUGAUGCGCGAAAGCGUGGGGAGCAAACAGGAUUAGAUACCCCAGUAGUC
This 443-nucleotide ribosomal RNA is filed under the name uncultured bacterium. RNAcentral describes it as "partial 16S ribosomal RNA". It matches the Rfam family "Bacterial small subunit ribosomal RNA", at positions 338 to 795 of the family's 1533-position model. The record is from RNAcentral.